UACGUAGGGUGCGAGCGUUAAUCGGAAUUACUGGGCGUAAAGCGUGCGCAGGCGGUUCGACAAGUCCGAUGUGAAAGCCCCGGGCUCAACCUGGGAAUGGCAUUGGAAACUGGCGAGCCUGAGUGUGGCAGAGGGGGGUGGAAUUCCGCGUGUAGCAGUGAAAUGCGUAGAGAUGCGGAGGAACACCGAUGGCGAAGGCAGCCCCCUGGGCUGACACUGACGCUCAGGCACGAAAGCGUGGGGAGCAAACAGG
RNAcentral lists this ribosomal RNA (253 nucleotides) under uncultured bacterium. RNAcentral describes it as "partial 16S ribosomal RNA". It matches the Rfam family "Bacterial small subunit ribosomal RNA", at positions 524 to 776 of the family's 1533-position model. The record is from RNAcentral.